UACGGAGGGUGCAAGCGUUAAUCGGAAUUACUGGGCGUAAAGGGCUCGUAGGUGGCCAACUAAGUCAGACGUGAAAUCCCUCAGCUUAACUGGGGAACUGCGUCUGAUACUGGAUGGCUUGAGUUCGGGAGAGGGAAGCGGAAUUCCGGGUGUAGCGGUGAAAUGCGUAGAUAUCCGGAGGAACACCGGUGGCGAAGGCGGCUUCCUGGACCGACACUGACGCUGAGGCGCGAAAGCUAGGGGAGCAAACGGG
This 253-nucleotide ribosomal RNA is filed under the name uncultured bacterium. RNAcentral describes it as "partial 16S ribosomal RNA". It matches the Rfam family "Bacterial small subunit ribosomal RNA", at positions 524 to 776 of the family's 1533-position model. The record is from RNAcentral.